UAACUUCAGCAGGGGAGAUACCAUGAUCACAGAGGUGAUUUUCCAGGGCGAGGCUUAUCCAUUGCAUUCCAGAUGUGCUGACCCUUGCUAUUUCCCCAAAUGUGGGAAACUCGACUGCAUAAUUUGUGGUAGUGUGGGACUGCAUUCGCGCUCUCCCCUG
Small nuclear RNA from Fukomys damarensis (Damara mole-rat), 160 nucleotides. Its record names the gene U1. It matches the Rfam family "U1 spliceosomal RNA". From Rfam's summary of the family: U1 is a small nuclear RNA (snRNA) component of the spliceosome (involved in pre-mRNA splicing). Its 5' end forms complementary base pairs with the 5' splice junction, thus defining the 5' donor site of an intron. There are significant differences in sequence and secondary structure between metazoan and yeast U1 snRNAs, the latter being much longer (568 nucleotides as compared to 164 nucleotides in human). Lineage: Eukaryota; Metazoa; Chordata; Mammalia; Rodentia; Bathyergidae. The record is from Ensembl.